CGUGAGGUUAUCUUCCUAAACAUAUGAUUCUCUGGCCGAUUUAAGAUGCCAGAUGUCUAUCUUUGAAUUUUUGUUCAAAUUCGGGUUGUGAAGUGCGGGAGAAAUUGUGUCGAGUGCAAGCAUUGAAGUUAUUUUACAGGCUGUGUCGACAAUAUAACUAAGUGCCUUCAAAAUUGCUGUAAAAAAUGGAGGACGCAGAGGAUCACUACAAAAUUCUGGGGCUACCAUCAGGCAAAGAAGGGGCAAAACUCGGCGAAGGGGAAAUACGCAAGGCCUACAGAGCACGAGCUCUCGUCUGGCAUCCCGACAAGAGACCUGAUGAUCCUAACGCUGCUGCUACCUUUCAGAAAAUUCAGACCGCCUAUGAACUCCUCACAGACAAAACCGCCCGCAAAGCUUUCGAUGACUUUCUUCGCUUGCGGGAGGAAAGGCUUCAGAGACAACAGCACAAGGUUUCUGAAGUCAGUGCCAAGCGAAGAAAAAUGAUGGACGAUCUCACACGGAGGGAAAGAGAAUUCGAAAUUCAAAAGCAGCAGGAAGACAAGGAAAAGGCCGAGGAGGAUCGGGCGGCUAAGAAACUUCAGGAAGAAAUUGCCAGGAUUCGAGCUUUACACGCACAGAGGUCCUCGCCAGCCUUUAAUUUUGCAACUCCUCAAGAUUCGAAAAAGAGACCAGCAGCUGCGAAUUUGGAAAAAGAAAAGGUGUUGAAAGCCACAUGGAAUUCAUUGGAGGGGCGUGGGGAUUAUAGUGUGGAGCGGCUUAGAGAAAUCUUUGAGAAAUUUGGAACAGUGGAAGAUAUUGUUGUCAGGGUUAAAAACUCUAAGAAGAAAGGUUCUGCUAUAAUUGUUAUGGGAUCCAAGGAACAAGUCGAUGCUGCCACUCGAAGUACGUGCGGAGAUAUUUCAAACCCUUUGCUUGUACUUCCCCUUUUGCCAUCAGCAACUAAUUCUGGAUAUGAUCCUGAGAAUAAGCAAGCAGAAGCUGUCAAUGAUGCAGCACUAAACAAUAUUGUUGGAGCUGGAUAUCAUGAAUAUGAGGAUACCAUUAUUAAGAAGUUACAGAAGGCUGCUGAGAAAGCAAAAUCAGAAAAGCAGGCACAAAGCUAAGGCGUGGUGAUGCUGAAAGAGAAGAUUUCAAGAGUUGCAAUUCAAAGAUUGCAUGCAUGAUAAUGCAGCAAUCCAGAUGGCAGGUCUGCUUAUUGGCAAAAUAUGAUAGAUGCCAUUACUGUUUGUGGUGCGGGGUUCAAAACCCCUAAUGACAAGGAGAUAAAAGGUUCUAUUUUGACUGAAAAAGUGGUUGAUGUGCAAGGCAAAUUGAUGAGCAAUGUGAUACAUGACUGAUUAAAGUAGUAGAACAUUGUUGAAUUUUCUUGUUUCUUCCUCAGGUGGCAUAGUGUUCUUGAAGUCAAUUGAUGCUUCUGGAAACACAAAAAAUGUUGAGUUCCUUUGUGAGGCCUUGGAGGGAGUCUUGGCCAAAGUGGUUGAGGAGAACAUAGUACAAAUAGCUACGGAUAAUGCAUCAAAUUAUUUUGCUGCAGUUAGCAAGAUGUGGAGCACGUGGGGAACACAUCUCGAGAAUGUAGGGGACACAGGAAAUGGAUCCUAACCUGUGUUUUACUGCUUUCUAAUGUAUUUUCAAUUUUCAAUAUAACUGUAUAAUCAAAUAAAAUUGUAAUACCCACUUUUAAAUCUUAAUACAUACAACUGGUUUCUAUGAUGAAAUGGUCUUCAUAUGCCUUUGGACA
This is an RNA transcript of Cryptomeria japonica (Japanese cedar), 1744 nucleotides long. RefSeq lists it as uncharacterized. The transcript is spliced from 8 exons. Lineage: Eukaryota; Viridiplantae; Streptophyta; Pinopsida; Cupressales; Cupressaceae. The record is from RefSeq and is a predicted model, not a curated record.